Molecule: small RNA, 142 nt
Filed under: Chrysemys picta bellii (western painted turtle)
Lineage: Eukaryota; Metazoa; Chordata; Testudines; Emydidae
Description: TUC338 (ENSCPBG00000002057.1)
Source: RNAcentral
AGAGAUGAAGUCCUCUAUUUAAACAGAACAGGUACAGCUUCAGCAGUAGCAAUGCAAACUUCCCCAGCCUUGCUUCAACAUUGACCUGGAAGGACCUCCUCUAAAUGACAGAGGGUGAAAUCCUGGCUCCAUUAAAGUAAAU